Molecule: long non-coding RNA, 1484 nt
Filed under: Gallus gallus (chicken)
Lineage: Eukaryota; Metazoa; Chordata; Aves; Galliformes; Phasianidae
Description: lncRNA (ENSGALG00010007193.1)
Source: RNAcentral
GUGUGUAAUGGAAAUAUUCGGGGCGUGGGUAGUAAAAGGGCUUAAGCGGAGCGCCGCGGCUCCCAGCCUCUCAGAGAUAAGGAGCAGAGCCCGUCACGGAGACUGCGUGUGCCCCACCGCCACCGACCUUGUUCUUUCCUUUCCUCGCUGCCGGCGAGUGGUGGGCAGUGACCCGCUGACACCGCAGGCAUAUGGCUCCGGGCAAAAAUCAGGGUCCUUGCCUCAGCGGGCGCAGCUCUCUGAGUGCAGUGUAACGCUCGGGAUCCAACAGAGGGAAGAGGAGCCCCGUACUUUCUGCCCCACUUUAAGCCCACGCUCCAGAAGCACCCGGCAACAGUAUGAAAAUAGGCUAGAAAUGGGCUCGAUAGGAAACAGGGAGAAUCCCGAAUGCCCCCCCCCCACCCCCCACCCCAUCAGCGUGCGAGCAUCUCGCCUCGGCCGGAUCGGCUCGCUGAUGGAGGGAGGCGGAGGGAGGUACGGGGAUGUGCCCGUGCCAGGGGUGGGCUCGGCCGCGAGCGUAGCAAAGCGGGACCCGCCGGGCUGCAACCUCCCCGGCCAGCGCCGUUCAUAGGGGCUCUUCGCCUUUUGCUUCACGGCGAUUACCUCUGCCACGUGCGAGGCAGGGAGGCUGACUCACGGAGUGCAGCAGAGCGGGGAGCGAUGCGGGGCGGUGGGGAUCGCUGCACACCCACGCAGAGCGUGGGCGCUGAGAACCGUACACAGCGAGGGGGCCGGCAGUGAUCCCGGUUGUUCUGUGGGGCCGGCGCUGCCCCCCGACUCCACUGUCCUCCCGGGCACCGCGAGGCCCCCGCAGCGCUGUCCGGGUCCCUCCGACCCGACACCCCCCCACGGGUCUCGGGGGACAAGUGGAAAGAUACACAGCACACAAUGACCGGGAGAAAAUCACAGCACAAAGGGGAGCGGAGCGGCCGCGGGGAGGAAUGUGGGCUCCGCACUCCCACGCUGCGGUGCCGGGUACGGCAAUGCGGGAUAACGGCUAACAGCUGAAAUCAAAACGCAAUUGGUUUGAUUUUUUUUUAAAUGCCGAGGGCGGCAUUGAGGGGAAAGGAGUCGUUUUUUAAUCUUAAUGCAAACCCAUCCGCCAGCAGACGCAGAGUAAAAGCUCGUUAAAAAAAAAAAAAAAAAACACAAUAUAAAAAAUGGAAUGUGCUUUUUCUGAGCUUUGCGGAUCUUUACGGGGGAGAAACAAAUGAGGGAAGAGUGGAAAAUGGGAGGCGAUAAGAAGAAAACCUGCCUUUGUUCUCCCUGGUCAUUUUCUGCUAAUUACUCUGCCCAUUGUGACAAAGUCGCAGUUAAGGGCACAUUAGUGUACAUAACGCCGCGUUUCGCCCCGCACCGCUCAGCGCCCGGCCCGAGCCGUGCCGCCGUGUUUGUGUUCCUCCCCUUCACCUCCAACAGAAACUCUUUGAGAUUUCAGAUCUUUGAACUUUGGACGGAUCAAACUGCCGGCGCUCACCUUUGUC